UGUUGCCUGAGGCAAAUAACUUGAUUAACUUCAUUUCGAUUUCCUUUCUCUCACCACGUGCAAACUUUUUCGGACGGACCAUCGACUAGAGCUCUUGCAGAUUCUCGAGGAGAUCUGUGCAUUUUUUUUUGGUUUAUGAGC
Molecule: non-coding RNA, 141 nt
Organism: Caenorhabditis elegans
Lineage: Eukaryota; Metazoa; Nematoda; Chromadorea; Rhabditida; Rhabditidae
Source: Ensembl